Dipodomys ordii (Ord's kangaroo rat) is the source of this 72-nucleotide non-coding RNA. NCBI's taxonomy places the organism in Eukaryota, Metazoa, Chordata, Mammalia, Rodentia, Heteromyidae. The record is from Rfam.
GGAGGUAUGGCUCAGUGGUAGAGUACCUGCCUAGCAAGCAUGAGGCCCUGACAUUAGACCUCAGUACCACAG